AUAACAGGACUCUUAGGCUGAGAUACUUCCAUGAAUGCCAGUUUCAUCUGAGAGGGAGUUAGGUAUUUCAGGAGCAAUCAAAUCUGAGUCUGGGCUACUGAGAUCAUCGCAGUGAGGCUGUUCACCAUUGGAGCUGCUUUCUUCUACUUGGUUCCUUGCAAUCACCUGUCUGCAAUGCGUGGAAGGAAAAAAGCAUACCAUUAUUGGGGACCUCCAUUUGGAAGACAGAUACCAGCAGUUUCAUAAGCAGGGCUGGAGAACAUGCAUCCUAGAGACCCGAAAACUGGCUGAGGAGACCUCUGGCCGACUCAUGUUAAUUUUUAACCAUCCUCGGAAUAGCAGGGAAAUUCUACAAGACUGGAAGAGCGCUAAUGUGCCAGCACGCAGAGUCACCCUAAGCCAGUGAAACUGACCUCAGUCCCAGGAAAAAUCAUGGGAAAAACUAAGAUAAGAUACAACUGACAAAGGUUUCAAAGGACAGAAAAAAAAAAAUAAUUCCAGACAGUGAGUUUUAGAGAACAACAGGUAUGGUGAAACAAGCCUGAUUUUGUUCUUCGGGGGGAUUACAGUUUGGCUGAUAAAGGUGGCUGCAUAUAUGUAACCUAUUUAUACUGCAGUAAGGCAUUUGACUUAGUAUUCCAUUCUGUUUUCUUUAAAAAGAGCUAUAUACAAACCCCACUAAGGGGUAUUCUGUGAAUAAGACUUCUCAAAGAGUAACUGGGGAAUGAUCCCUGCCUGUGGAUGUUUCUAGCAAAGCUCCACAGCUACCUGAUGCUGUUCACUAUUUUCAUCAGUGAUCUGAAAGUAAGUAUAAGAUCACUGUGAAUGAAAUUUACAGAUAAAGAUAAGGCGAUACAAGGAAGAGCAGUCAUAUACAGCAGUCUGGGCAGCCAGGUAAGACGGACCUAAUCAAACAAAAUGCGUUGUAAAGCCUCACCCCUGGCAAUUAUGUUAUUUGUUGAGAAUUGCAGAUUUUUCUUAAACUACUCCCCCUAAAAACAGUGCAUUGAGAAUUCGUUUUCCUUGUAGCACACGAAAGCUUGAGAUGUUAACGAAUAAAAAAAAUAGAGUUAAUAUUUUGAAUUCCUUGAUUCUGGGGACAGACACGUGAUCUUUUAAAGUCUGGAGUAGGUGAUACUGUGAUUCCAAAAUAUCGUAUGCUUAUCACAAUUUGAUCUGUCCACAGUGAUCAUUUUUUUGGCAUCACCACCUUACCCCUCUCUUCUCUUCAUUUAUAAAUAGCUAUAUAUUUUUUAAUGCAAAUACAUGUUUAGCCCUAAUUUUAUUAAAGUUUAUUAACUAAGGCAAGAUGCAGUGCCAAGAAAUUGUGAUUUAACAAGGCACAGAAAUGAGAAGUACUGACCAAAACAAUAAAUACAAGAACUUGUUCUCCUCUGCAGGGGUACAGCACCUGGGCAGAGACUUUGGCAGCCCUCGGUGGGCAGCACUCUCAAACUUCCUCUAGAGCAUCUGUUUUCUGUGGUUUGUUUUAUGUCUCUUGAGAAUGAGCGGACUUGUUUUUACGUUGUGUCAGGAGUGCCUGGACUGGACGUUCUGUACCUUUUGAGGGGAAAAUGUUGGAUUUGAUAAUAUGUUUGUUGAUAGGACACUGUUAGAAUGCAUUGCUCAUGAGCUAUUUCACAAAUGGAAGUGUGUUAUGUAUGUCACUUGUAAAUGUCUAUCUGGUGCCUAUUAUAUAGGAAGCCUUUGUAUGACAUUAAAAACUAUUUAACGUUUUGAAAACAAAAAGCCCUAUCAUCUUAGUUUUCAAAAGAGAAAGGGCAAGAACAAGAACUUCAGAAAGCAGUGGAUAGCAUCUUAACACUGACAGACUAUCUCCCAGGAACUGAGACGCAGAGGCCACUGCACCGCCCACCCUGGAUGUAUGUUUGCCUGGUCGCUCCUGGUUUGGAGAAUGUUUGUCUGAGCAGCAGCUGCAGAGGGCGUGUUCUCACCUCAUGUUCAGUGCAUGAGUCUCAAUGGAUGAGAUUUAAGGAAGGACACCAGCUACUGGAAACUGUCUACUGUGAUAGGAGAGAGAGGGCUGGAGAAAGUAGAGAACAAGAACAGCUGCCUGAGAACAUGGUCUGCUUACUCAGGGAAGUACCUCUCAUGAUAGUCUCCUUCCUAUACUAUUAAUAAGGACUUCAUCUCCCCAAAGACAAGGGAUCAAAAAAACCUGAGCUGUCAAAUAUCCAAAUGAGCUCCCCAGUUCCAGGAAUGAGGCAGCUGUUGCAAUUUAUCUGGAUGGAGUGGAAAAUUGAAAGAGCACAUGGACAUUGUACAGUCUGUCCACGAAGAAAACUCUCACCUGCAAACUGAGAAGCUGGCUGCACAACAGGGAUAUCAUGAUGGUGACAAAGGGGACUGGGACAUAGAUUCCUUGCUGCAGCCUUCUUGCAAGUAUCAACCCUCCUCUUCUCCCCAAACUCAUUCAUCUGACUUGGCACCAGAUAACUCUGCAGUGCAGAGAAGAUUGUGGUGCAAUCAGAUCAUGGAUUGAGGUCCGGGCAAGCUUCAGAGUCUAAAGAUUAUGCUGUGGCAUAUGCAGAUCCAGUUGUUGCAUGUGGCAUUCAGAGGAGCUUGAUGCUGACUUCUUUUCUGUGUGGAUAUACAGCUAAAAAAUCAGCAGAUUAUACCGUGGUAGAUGUCUUGGCCUUGCCCAGAUAGUGAGACCUUGCUGUACACAGAGGUGGAGGAGAUACAAUCACUGCAUGUUACACAAAGCCAGAAUGUAAUCUUCAGGGGACCCUAAGAGAUCUAGCUGGCAAUAAAGACAGCUGACACGCCCUAAGAGGGAAAUGCCUGAAAGACUUGAAAGUACUCUUGUUUCACCAGGCAGAUGAGCAGCUGAAACAGUACAUGCUGCCCUGAGUGACCCUGAGCUGAGCUUGACAGAGAGAUGGAUGAGCACAGGAACAGUGAAGAAUCACAGAAUCACAGAAUGGUUGAGGUUGGAAGGAGC
Struthio camelus australis is the source of this 2965-nucleotide non-coding RNA. The record is from RefSeq and is a predicted model, not a curated record. Lineage: Eukaryota; Metazoa; Chordata; Aves; Struthioniformes; Struthionidae.